GACCAUUCGGCGAAUUUUAUAUGCCAAAGUUUUUAAAUAAGAUAACAUGGAUGAUAUUCCAGAGUUUUUACUGUCUAAAUUUCUCAUUAUUGGCAAAAAUGCGUCCACAUACGUCCCUUUUUUGUAAUGGGUGCAAUUUAAUUAUGUAUAAAUGUUGCAUUUAGAAUCUGAAUAUGAAAGUACUAUACCAUCAGCAAAAGAAUCAUUGGCUUACAUGUCUGGCGGUUAGUCUUAUUAAAUCCCAUGUUUCUUUGAAACCAUUUGCAAUGUGGUUUAUUUGCUGUAAACAAGGCUCAUCAUGUUAUAUAUAUUUUAUGUUAUUCAAAAACUUCUUACUUCAAUCAAUUUUAUAUUAUUAACUGAUUGACCUUAAUGUAAUACAAGGGUUGAAUUAAGAGAGCGAAUUACAAUUUUUGUAAAAAUAUCUGGUCAUCAAAGUAUCAGUUGAUGGAAAACCAUAAAUUUAUGGAAGAGGCUUUAAUUUGUUAGGUGAACUAGCUACAAAUGAAACUUUGAAGACUAGAUAUUCUAUAAUUCUAGACUUUUUAUCUAGAUGAUAUAUAGAUAAAUUAUGAUUAACUAGAUAGUUUUAUAAUUUGUGAUCGUUUAAUUUAACCGUUUUAAGAUAAUUAAUUCUUUUUUGUUAAUAAAAAUAAUUAUUUCUGAGUAUAAUGUUUUGACCAAUCUCCUGCUAAAAUUCUUGACUAUCAUUCAUAUGUCAUAUUUUACUAUUAAUUUUUCUCAGAAACAGCUGUAUUUCCAAUUGAACCGACUUCAAAAAAGGUAUCAAAAUGUGUACAUUGUCAAGUUUGAACUUCUGAAAAGAGGCACCUAUUAACACACAAAAAACUUGGAAGAAAACUGCUAAAUGACUCAAGUUUUAGCGUAGCGCAUCUAACCAUUUUGCAGCUGUAGGACUCAAGGAUAGUGCUUUUAUAUAAGAUGUUUGUUUAAUUUCAACAAUGUGAACGAUUUAGAUUAAUCAAAUAAGCACUACGUUAAAGGACGCAUGUUUUAGAUCCCUUUGAGAAGCUACGGUUUCCACUAAGCGAUGCUGAGUACCAGAAACUGUCACUUGGUCUCUUGUGGGAGAUAAAAGAAAACGUUGUAAAUUGUUGUUGGCCAACUGAAGAAAAGGAUAACCAUGCAAUAAAAAUGAUGGCAACGAUGGAAGAUUUUAAUGCCUUUGAAAGAGAGUUGUUAGACGAACAGAAACGUUCAAUCUUGAAAAUCUUUACGUCAAGUCCGUGGUUUGGAUGCGAAAGACCAAGUAAUAUUGAUACUGGAAAGACUGUUUACCGUUGGACUUCUGUCCCAAUUUAAGAACGCCCCUGAUCAAAUCGGGGGGUUGCGUAGGCAACGCCAAGAAACAGAGGAGAAAGCUCAAGAAACAGAGGAAAAA
Molecule: non-coding RNA, 1402 nt
Organism: Hydra vulgaris (swiftwater hydra)
Lineage: Eukaryota; Metazoa; Cnidaria; Hydrozoa; Anthoathecata; Hydridae
Source: RefSeq, a predicted model, not a curated record